UAGUCCUAAACUUCAAGUUACAAGCACAGAAAUUAAGGACAGGUAGUCAUGAACUUAGAGUUCCAAGUUAAAAAAAUAAGGACAUGUAGUCCUAAAUUUAGAGUUACAAGUUAUAAAGUUAAGGACAUGUAGUCCUGAACUUAGAGUUACAAGUUAAAAAGUUAAGGACAGGUAGUCCUGAAAUUAGAGUUACAAGCUAAAAAGUUAAGGACAUGUAGUCCUGAACUUAGAGCUACAAGUUAAAAAGUUAAGGACAUGUAGUCUUGAACUUAGAGUUACAAGUUAAGAAGUUAAGGACAGGUAGUCCUAAACUUCAAGUUACAAGCUCACAAAUUAAGGACACUUGGUCCUUAACUUAGAGUUACAAGCACAGAAAUUAAGGACAUGUAGUCCUUAACUUAGAGUUACAAGUUAAAAAGUUAAGGACAUGUAGUCCUGAACUUAGAGUUACAAGUUAAGAAGUUAAGGACAGGUAGUCCUAAACUUCAAGUUACAAGCUCACAAAUUA
RNAcentral lists this long non-coding RNA (508 nucleotides) under Nicotiana tabacum (common tobacco). RNAcentral's name for it is "long non-coding RNA (NTAB_LNC011913)". Lineage: Eukaryota; Viridiplantae; Streptophyta; Magnoliopsida; Solanales; Solanaceae. The record is from RNAcentral.